GCGCAGCAGGCGCGAAUCUUCCACAAUGGGGGAAACCCUGAUGGAGCGACGCCGCGUGCGGGAUGAAGGCCCUAUGGGUUGUCAACCGCUGUUCAGUGGAAAGAACAUCCUCCGGCUGAAUAGGUCGGAGGCCUGACGUUACCACUGCAGAAAGUCCCGGCCAACUCCGUGCCAGCAGCCGCGGUAAUACGGGGGGGACAGCGUUGUCCGGAAUCAUUGGGCGUAAAGGGCGCGUAGGCGGCGAGGAAAGUCGAAUGUGAAAAUCUUGCGGCUC
RNAcentral lists this ribosomal RNA (274 nucleotides) under uncultured microorganism. RNAcentral describes it as "partial 16S ribosomal RNA". It matches the Rfam family "Bacterial small subunit ribosomal RNA", at positions 346 to 610 of the family's 1533-position model. The record is from RNAcentral.